CGGGAAAUUCCAAAUAGAAACCAACUGAAAGGCCAGACAAAGCUGGAAGGGCUUUGAAAUCUGUCCCUCUCUAACCCCGCUCCUUCGGGACCAGCCCCGGCCAGAAGGCAGGAGGACGGAGCAGGCCUGAGACGCUGGGCAGGGAGGAGGCUCGCGGGAACCUGCACGCUUCCAUUCCGGAACUGCGUCCGGGCAGACCAGGUACUAUGCAAGGCACUGGUCUUCAUCUGAAGAUUUAUCAGCAUACAAGACAGAUGUGGUCUCUUGCCUUGGAUCACACAGUUAAUGGAGGAGCUGGAACCAGAAA
Long non-coding RNA from Heterocephalus glaber (naked mole-rat), 307 nucleotides. The record is from Ensembl. Lineage: Eukaryota; Metazoa; Chordata; Mammalia; Rodentia; Bathyergidae.